This 424-nucleotide ribosomal RNA is filed under the name Heterospilus sp. MAS-2010. RNAcentral's name for it is "eukaryotic LSU rRNA". Lineage: Eukaryota; Metazoa; Arthropoda; Insecta; Hymenoptera; Braconidae. The record is from RNAcentral.
CCGUUCAGGGGUAAACCUGAGAAACCCAAAAGAUCGAAUGGGGAGAUUCAUCGUCAGCUCAUUUUGUAUAUGUAUGANGUUAUGAUGCGAGUUACUCUNUGUAGUAUUGCUUGCACGUACUUAUACAUUUAUUUGCAAGAUGUUGUCGGCGUGCACUUCUCCCCUAGUAGAACGUCGCGACCCGUUGGGUGUCGGUCUACGACCCGAGUGGUAGACUUUAAUAUUUUNAUAAUAUUAAAGACCCUUGGUGUUUUCUGACCGGCUGCCCGGCGGUACUCGUACGGUAUUUAGCCGCAAUUUAUUUNGCGUCCAUGUCCGUCGCAAGCGAGGCUAAUUUCUGGUAGUNACGGACCUAGUGCCGUCGCUGGGAUUGGCCAGCUGUUGGUUGUAUGGAAUUCUAGGACUGGCUAAAAUAAUUACCGGU